Molecule: non-coding RNA, 3763 nt
Organism: Castor canadensis (American beaver)
Lineage: Eukaryota; Metazoa; Chordata; Mammalia; Rodentia; Castoridae
Source: RefSeq, a predicted model, not a curated record
CCACCACAUCAGAAGAUGAAAUGCUGUGGUCAGAUAUUGCAAUUGUAGAAUCUGUGAAUACAGCAGCCCCUGAUGCCAGCAGAUGAAGGUGUAGUGGACUGGUCACUAUCAUUUCUCAAGUGCUGUAGCUGUUAGAAAUGUGGUUUUAUGAAGUGGUUAACUGCAACAGGUAAUGUUCCAAGCAAAAUAAUCACCAGUCUUCCCUUUGAUAGACAUAUUAAUUGCAUUUCUAUAGAAUUUAGUUGUAUUGAAACUACAAAAAAUAGUUUAUGCUUAUAUAUGAAACUGACAAAUGGGACUGCAUCAAAUUAAAAAGUUUCUGUACAUCAAAAGAAACAGUUACCAGAGUCAAGAGACAGAAUGGGAGAAUGGGAGAAAGUUUUCAUUCAAAGACUGAAUCCCUUAUUCAAAAGAUAAUCCAGAAUAUACAAAGAGCUCAAGAACUUAACAGCAAAACAACAAAGAAUCCAAUUCAUAAAUGGGCAAAUGAAUAGGUAGUUCUCAGAUGAAGAAAUGGAAAUGGUUGAUAAAUACAUGACAAAACGUUCAACAUCCUUAUACUUAGAGGAAAUGAAAAUCAUCUCACUCCAGUCACAGAGGCAGUCAUCAAGAAAACAAAUGUUGACAAAGGCUGGCAAGGAUGCAGGGGAAAAGAACCCAGUGUUGGUGGGAAUGUAAGCUAAGGCAACCACUAUGGAAAACAGUAUGGAGGUUCACUGAAAAGAAAACUAAAAAUAGAUUUACCUUAUAACCCUGCCAUACCACUUAGGCAUAUAUUGGAAGGAGUAUAAAUCAAUAAACAAGAGAGAUAUUUAUGUACCCAUGUCUAUUGCAUAGCUCUUCACAAUAACCAAAAUGUUGAAACAGCCAAGGUGCCAACAGGUCAAUGAAUGAAUAAAGAAAAUAUGCAUGUAUGUAUACAUACAUACAUAUCAUGGGAUAUUACUCAGCCAUAAAAAGUGAAAUUAUGUUAUUUUCAGGAAAAUGGAUAGAACUGGUGAUCAUCAUGCUGAGAAAAGCUGCACUCAAAAACCAAAUAUCCCAUGUUCUUGCUCAUUUAUGGAACCUAGACCUAAAGGAUGAUGAUAAUGACAAUAAUAAUGGGACACAAAUGUGUAUGAGGAUUACAGGGAUUGGGGAAUCAGUGGAAGGCGGGAGGAGAAGGAAAGGAAAUGAUACUGAAGGGUGAAGAGGAUGGAAGAAUGCUACAUAUAUACAUAUAAAGAUUCCAUAAUGAAAGCCACCAAACACUUUUGAAGAAGGGGGGAGGAAGAGAAAGAGGGGAAAUAGAAAUAUAAUGGAAGGGUAAACUUGAGGUACACUGUACACAGGUAUGGAAUUAUCACAAUGAAAUCCCCUCAUGUGAUUAAUAUAUAAUUCAAAAUCAAAACAAAAAUUUUGAGGAAAGAAUGAAGGGAAGUUCUGAUCAUAUGCUUUCAUAAUUUCAUCAACAACUUUUCAAAUUUGUCUUCCUUUCUAACAGUAAGGCAAAUACUUGUCCUAUAACUGCCUUCUUUCAUAAAGACUUUAAGGCAAUUUUUUAAAAGGAGUACAAAAUGAGGACUAAAGGGGAAAAAGCAAUGUUAGGUUUAGAAAUCUGUGCCUGUGGUGUAAACAUAGGGCUAUGAGCUUCCUAGUGACCAAGACAAAGAGGAAAGUCUCUUUUAGUUACAUUUUUUUAAAAAUGAAGUUUCUAAGGAGAAGCAAAUUGUCCCAGGCACAGAGAACAGAAGUAAAUUUUCUCAGUUACUCAUAAAAAGGGUAUUUGGAGCUCUGAUGAUCGAUUUCCUCAAAUGCUCCAGAGUGACUGCCACUGAAUUAUAUAGGACUGAUUCGGAUCGUCCCUCAUUGUUGACAUUCUGCAAAAGUCUAAUUCUAUAAAGGAAAAUAAAUGACCUCCAAGCAAUCAUCCUUUUUUACCGUUCAUUUUCAGGUAAAUUUUUGGGAAACACUGAAAAGCAUGGAGCUGGAGGUCACCUCUGAUGAGUAGUUUGAAUGCAACUCUUCUCAGCAGAUGCAAAAGUGCAAAGCCAUAGCCUUGAUACAUUUCACCUAGCUGGACCAUUCCCUUACCCCCGUAAAAGGUAUGGGGCAGAAGAGCAGGCCACCUACCUCUGCAAGAAGAAGGGCAAGUGCAUGGAAGAAGAUGCAGAAAUUUUGACUAAGAGAAAGAAAAAUGAAACUAAUGGUCCAUGUUGACAGGAAAGACUGUCAUAUGAGCCAGAGAAAGUUAUAAUGACUCCAAAGGUUCAAUCCAAAGGAAUGAUCAAGGGAUAAGGAGAUUAGGUGUCUCGAUGAACAAGGUCCUGUUGCCUCUGUAUCUCCCCCCAACCCCCUUUGGGCAUCAUUUAUGGUAUCAGGAGAAAAAAUGUUUCAUCAGAAAUCAGAAAAAAAAGGGCUUUGAUUCUUAAGUUGAACCUUGAAGGCAGUAGGCAUAGAAACUGUUAGAUGAGUUGGAGCAAGGCUUCCAGCCCUGGCAGGAUGAGAGGUUUCCAGGUAUGCUGCUGGGACAGUGAGGGAAAGGCUGGAUCACAGGGAGGAAAGAGAGCUGGAUGUGCUAGUAGGGAGUUGAGGAGGACAGAAGGACAGGUGGAAGGGUUAAAAGGAAGCAGAGAAUACUUGGAUGAUGAUGGCCCCUCUCUGAGAAAAAGACCCCACACCUUGCUCUCUAGAGAGGAUAGUGGUGGGUCACAGAAAACAAAGAUAGUUGGGGUGGCCAUUGGUGCCCAAGUAGAGCCCAAGGCAACUGCAAGAUCCCAGAAGAGAAGUGUCUGAGUGGUGUGUAGGGGACCUGGCACAGCAUGAAAUUGUUAGAAUGGGGCUCCUGUGCUCAGAAGUAUUACCUGAGUAGUAAUGAAGGACUCACAAAAUUUCCUGGAAGUGCUGUGACAUGAAAGCAGUGUAAUCAAUCCUCCUGUGCCAGCAGCUGAGAAAGAAGACACCACACCUGAAGAAUUCUGGGGAACAGCUCAACGACAAAGACCCAAUGGGAGCAAGGACAUCUCCGCCAAGACUAGUGCAGAGAUAGCAUCAUGCAGAGAAUGAGAUAUACCUUCCCCCAUUGCCAAGCACCAAAUAAGCUAGGACCAGUCAAAAGGAUGACGAUAGUGAUAUCAUGGUUCUGACACCCAGAUAGAUAAGUUAUUAUAGAAAAACAAAAUUAUAUUUCUUAUACAACUGAAUUUUUUGAUUGAGAUGUGAACUCAAAAGUACUAUCAAUCAAUCAAUCAAUAAAUUAAGAAAAAUUUUAGGUAUACCUAACAAAAAUUAUUCAGCUUUUCCUUUCUGGAACUCAGGAGAGUUUCAUAUAUAUCCUAACAAAGAUCUUGACCACCGUUAAGUAGCUAGAUUGCGUGCGGCCUCCUAGCUUCCUGGGUGUAGCUCACAUAGCCCUGCUUAGUAAGUGCUGCUCAUGUAUGGCUGAUGGUAUCCUGGGAGCUUUCACUGUUUUCCCUCAUUUAAUCCUUGAAAUAAUAGCUGUGAGAUUAGAUGUUAUUCCCAUUCUACUGAUUAGUAAAUUUAGGCUCAACAAAGUAAAAUUUGAGGGCAUCUGAAGAAUUGUCCAACAUCACUUUUAUGAAGGUUAGUCUGACAUUUUUGUGAACAAGGCUAUGUUCCUCCUUCCUACUUCCCCAAAUAGCAUUUUCCUUUUACAGCACUUUUUUUUUUUUGUAGGUAGCAUCUGGGCUUGAACGCAGGACCUCGUGCUUACUAGGCAAGUGCUCUACCACUUGAGCUAUACUGCCAGUCUACAUUUCCCUUU